AUACUUGCCUGGCAGGGAGAUGCCACGAUCACGCAGGUGGUUUUCCCAGGGCGAGGCUCAUCCAUUGCACUUGGGAUGUGCUGACCCCUGCGAUUUCCCCAAAUGUGGGAAACUCGACUGCAUAAUGUGUGGCAGUUGGGGACUGCGUUCGCGCGCUCCCCUG
This is a small nuclear RNA of Ochotona princeps (American pika), 163 nucleotides long. Its record names the gene U1. It matches the Rfam family "U1 spliceosomal RNA". Rfam says of the family: U1 is a small nuclear RNA (snRNA) component of the spliceosome (involved in pre-mRNA splicing). Its 5' end forms complementary base pairs with the 5' splice junction, thus defining the 5' donor site of an intron. The record is from Ensembl. Lineage: Eukaryota; Metazoa; Chordata; Mammalia; Lagomorpha; Ochotonidae.